ACCUCUUUAACAAACAAUUAAGUGCUUGACUGCUAACCAAAAGGUUGGUAGUUCAAAUCCACCCAGAGGUG
RNAcentral lists this transfer RNA (71 nucleotides) under Loxodonta africana (African savanna elephant). It matches the Rfam family "tRNA". Rfam says of the family: Transfer RNA (tRNA) molecules are approximately 80 nucleotides in length. Their secondary structure includes four short double-helical elements and three loops (D, anti-codon, and T loops). The record is from Rfam by way of RNAcentral. Lineage: Eukaryota; Metazoa; Chordata; Mammalia; Proboscidea; Elephantidae.